ACAACAAAGUAGGCUUUGGUAUUUUGAUUUAAAUUUUUCUUUAACAAAGUAGGCAUUGAACGAAAUUUCAAUCACAAGAGGCACGGACUCGCAAGCAAAACCCUCAGUUCUACUUUCGCUCCCAAGGGGAAUACACAGCAUUAAAAAUUAUAAACCAGUUCACCCAACAUCAAAAAAGUUUUCAAAUACUUUCGAGAACGGGCUGUAUAUUACUCAGCAACAGAAACGAAAAUAUACUCAGCAAAAGAAGUCCGAAUCCAUAAUAGUGUGAUGUCAAGGCGCAUAAGUUGUGUGCAUAUGAUGCAAAAUACAAUUGACAUUCAUAAGCAACGUUAUGAUUUAUGAAACACAGUCAGAGUGCCCUGUAUUCAAUGAGAAGCAAUUUAAAAGUGGUUCAAAACUGCGGCACGCCCACACUUUUGAACAAUUUUUAAAUUUUCCAAUUUUUUUCAAUAAUAUCUAUCAAUAUCCCAGAUUGAUGCUUCUCUCUUUUUUCAUGUCGAUACAGGGUGCUGUAUCUGUUUCAUAAGUCAUAAAUUUUGUUUAUGAGUGCAAAUUAGUUUUAAUACUAUUUACACCUUUCAACGCCGUGGCAUCACAAUAUUAUGGAUACGUACAUAUCUUUUGCCGACCCGUCCUUGGAAGGUGUUUAAGAACUAUUUUGAUGUUGGGUACACUGUUAUAUAUUUUUGAUUUUUUUUUUUUGGGUGUGUGAAAGGUGCAGAGCCGAGAAAAAAAUUUGUGCAACUGAUCUUUGAAUCAAGCAGACGCUGCCUGCUCCAUAUUUUGGGUUGAUAAAAUCGUACCUGGAAGGAAGGAGGUUCGCUGUGCGCUUUCAUUCAGCAAUUUCCACCGAGCACAACGUGGCAGCUGGUGUUCCACAAGGUAGUGUCCUCGGCCCCUUGCUCUACUGCCUGUAUAGCCACGACAUGCCGCAGCCAGAUGUAAGCCUUUACGGGAAAUCUAUGUUGGCCCGAUGGUCCAGAUGCGACACAGCCGAUGGUAUCCAGGACUUUACAUACCGGUUCUCGGAAUGGCGGAGAACGCCACCGCCCGUCUACAUCGAGGAAGCCCCCG
Drosophila sechellia is the source of this 1077-nucleotide long non-coding RNA. RefSeq lists it as uncharacterized. Lineage: Eukaryota; Metazoa; Arthropoda; Insecta; Diptera; Drosophilidae. The record is from RefSeq and is a predicted model, not a curated record. The transcript is spliced from 3 exons.